Molecule: unclassified non-coding RNA, 161 nt
Filed under: uncultured Mortierellales
Lineage: Eukaryota; Fungi; Mortierellomycota; Mortierellomycetes; Mortierellales
Description: sequence contains ITS1
Source: RNAcentral
UAAUAGAGUGUUUUAUGGCACUCUAAAAAAAAUCCAUAUCCACCUUGUGUGAAAUGUUAAUCCUUGUCGAUAAAAAGACAAAGGUAUUUUUAUAUCAACUCUUUUUAUUUUAUUAUUAUUAUUUGUCUGUAAAACGUUAUGAAUUUACUUAAUUCAAAACA